GGCAUUGAGCACAGACUGAAUUACUCAGUGACGCUUGGAUCAGGUCAGAUCAAAUUCUCAAGCAAACAGAUGGCUGGGGAUAUUCAGUAGCAACGGUGAGGAGAGAGAGGAACAAUUCACAUUUCAAGGGACCCUUCCUCAAAACGGUCUGUUCUGAAGGAACUUUCCCGCAGAAAUCACUGGACUGAAAGCUUCUGGCAACAAAUGGCCACAAACCGAUCAAAGGUGAAAGUGACGGUGAACCAGACAGAGCAGUCAGUGGCUGCAUAAAGCAGGACGGCGUGGAUAUUACACACGGGGACGGAGUCCCUCAGGAAAUAAACCUGUUCCCGAUAAACAAUGGGAAUGUGUCUCAGGAUCAGGUCGAGGAUAAUGACCAGGAGAUCCGCCGCUGCCAUGGCCCCCAGAAACAGGCUUUUAGUCAAGAAAAGCUGUAAAGAAUGUGAAGAGGCCAUUCCACAGAAGCAGCAGUUAAGCACAGAGCUAUUGGAGCCUGUUACUCUGGAGCAGGAGGAGGACAUCUACUUUCACAAAACUUUGCUUAGGAGGAAGUCGCCCAGCUGCUGAAACCUGGUACACGGAGACA
This is a long non-coding RNA of Hemiscyllium ocellatum (epaulette shark), 586 nucleotides long. RefSeq lists it as uncharacterized. The transcript has 3 exons. Lineage: Eukaryota; Metazoa; Chordata; Chondrichthyes; Orectolobiformes; Hemiscylliidae. The record is from RefSeq and is a predicted model, not a curated record.